Molecule: long non-coding RNA, 226 nt
Filed under: Eucalyptus grandis
Lineage: Eukaryota; Viridiplantae; Streptophyta; Magnoliopsida; Myrtales; Myrtaceae
Description: long non-coding RNA (EGRA_LNC004791)
Source: RNAcentral
GGGCGACGCGAGGAACGAUAAACUCCAAAGUGGGCCUCGGGUUCGGGGCUCGGAAACGGCCCAAAACGGGCGAAGGGGGCUGGAAACCCACUCGGCCACUUGCUGUUCAAGGCUGGCCGAGGCUGGUCCGGCGGCUAGGGCGGCGAGGGGAGGCCGGUGGAGGGCGAGGGGGAUGCCGGGCGGUGGCCGGACGAAGCUGGGCGGUGGCUGGAGGCGUCGGGCCGAG